UACGGAGGGAGCUAGCGUUGUUCGGAAUCACUGGGCGUAAAGCGCGCGUAGGCGGGUGGCUAAGUCUGGUGUGAAAUCCCGGGGCUCAACCUGGGAAUUGCCUUCGAAACUGGAGGGCUAGAGUGUGGUAGAGGGGGGUGGAAUUCCUUGUGUAGCGGUGAAAUGCGUAGAUAUCAGGAGGAAUACCAGUGGCGAAGGCGGCCCCCUGGACCAAUACUGACGCUGAGGUGCGAAAGCGUGGGGAGCAAACAGG
RNAcentral lists this ribosomal RNA (253 nucleotides) under uncultured bacterium. RNAcentral's name for it is "partial 16S ribosomal RNA". It matches the Rfam family "Bacterial small subunit ribosomal RNA", at positions 524 to 776 of the family's 1533-position model. The record is from RNAcentral.